This 451-nucleotide ribosomal RNA is filed under the name uncultured Prochlorococcus sp. RNAcentral describes it as "bacterial SSU rRNA". It matches the Rfam family "Bacterial small subunit ribosomal RNA", at positions 129 to 613 of the family's 1533-position model. Lineage: Bacteria; Bacillati; Cyanobacteriota; Cyanophyceae; Synechococcales; Prochlorococcaceae. The record is from RNAcentral.
CCCUCAGGAGGGGGAUAACGGUUGGAAACGACCGCUUAUACCCCAUAUGCCGAUAGGUGAAACGAAUUUCGCCUGAGGAUGAGCCCGCGUCUGAUUAGCUAGUUGGUAAGGUAAAGGCUCACCAAGGCUUCGAUCAGUAGCUGGUCUGAGAGGAUGAUCAGCCACACUGGGACUGAGACACGGCCCAGACUCCUACGGGAGGCAGCAGUGGGGAAUUUUCCGCAAUGGGGGAAAGCCUGACGGAGCAACGCCGCGUGAGGGACGAAGGCCUCUGGGCUGUAAACCUCUUUUCUCAAGGAAGAAGAUAUGACGGUACUUGAGGAAUAAGCCACGGCUAAUUCCGUGCCAGCAGCCGCGGUAAUACGGGAGUGACAAGCGUUAUCCGGAAUUAUUGGGCGUAAAGCGUCCGCAGGCGGCCUUUCAAGUCUGCUGUUAAAGCGUGGAGCUUAAC